CAAAGUAAAAUUUAAUAGUAAAUAUUUCAUUUACAAUGAAAUUAUUUUUGUGCAAUUCAAAAUGCUUUGA
This 70-nucleotide transfer RNA is filed under the name Lipotactes tripyrga. RNAcentral's name for it is "tRNA-Val". The record is from RNAcentral. Lineage: Eukaryota; Metazoa; Arthropoda; Insecta; Orthoptera; Tettigoniidae.